Scylla paramamosain (green mud crab) is the source of this 2231-nucleotide long non-coding RNA. RefSeq lists it as uncharacterized. The record is from RefSeq and is a predicted model, not a curated record. The transcript is spliced from 4 exons. NCBI's taxonomy places the organism in Eukaryota, Metazoa, Arthropoda, Malacostraca, Decapoda, Portunidae.
UUUUUUCCGCUCUCACUUUUCUGCUUCCUUGACCUUCUCGUUUUUCUCUUCUUUCCUUCCUUCCUUCCUUCCUUUCUUUCUUCCUUCCUUCCUUGCUUGCUCCUAUUUUUUCCUGUGACCUAAUUUUCCUUUUCAUCACCUUUCUUUACUUAACAUUGCCUUCUCUUCUUUCCUUCUUCCUCUGUGCUCUUUUCUUAUCUUUCUUUCUCUUCCUUUCUCUACUGGUCGUUUUCCCUCCCUGUCCUCUUAUUCUCUUCCCAUUUUUUCCCUCCCUCUCAUAAAUUUAAUUUCCACCAUAUAAAAAUCAUCGGCCGAGGUUCUAUAUUAUUUUUUUUCAUGAUAGUUACGUCAUUGAAAACUACACGAAUAGAGAAAAGAGAGAGAGAGAGAGGCAGAGAAAUACUUAAUAUAAUGAGAUGGGAGUGAUGAAGAGAAAACGAAGAGGAGAAAAAGAAACUUACAUUACUUAGAUUAUUGUACAGUAUUCAAUCACUCACGGAAUCUUUUUAUUUAUUUUAUUUUAUUUUUUUCGUUCUCUUCUCCCUCAUCGACAUUCUUCUUUCGGAACGCUCAGAAAAGAACUAAAAAAAGAAAGAACAAUAAAGGAGGAAGCGAUAAAUCUGAUAGAAAAGGACGCACAGACAAUAAAUAACAGAGUUACGGAAAAAGGAGGAGGGCCAAAGAUACAGAAAGAAAGAAAGAGAGAAAGGAAAGUAAGGAAAAAAAAAUAACACGGAGAGAUAGAAACUGAACCAAACACAGACGAGACGAAGAGAAGAAUAUACAAUAACUAACCUCCAUCAAUCACUCAAUACACAACUCAGGUCAUACUCGUCCAAUACAAAUCACCGUCAACCACAAGUAAUGUAGUAACGUCACUCGCUAGUCAGUCAAGGCACAGUGAAGCCGCGGAUCACACACACACACACACAGAUCUUUGCAAGUCAAAUCAGCGACCCAACCAGUCACUCCAUCAAACGAAGCCACAAGUCACAAGUUAAGACAGCGCCGUGAAUUACAAGGUACCAGUGAACAGUAGCGCUUCCCGGCAGAAGAGUCAGCGGGCAGGAGGAGAAGGAGGAGGAGGAGGAGGAGGAGGAGGAGGAGGAGGAUAGAGUAUAGAAGCGAGUCACAAAGGGAAAGACCCGCCCGAUAAGUCACCGAAGCUAUCAGGAGGAGACCAGUUGGAAAGCCGCGACGUCACACCGUGCCUGCUGAGUGGUGGUGGCAGCAGAGGCGACAGAUUCCUGGAAACUCGUAAAGAUCACCUCUCGGGUGUUUGAGCACCUGCCCGGCACGUGAGGCGUCCUGCUGGGCACCGCGGUCACCCAGGGCACACAGGGCCGCCCAAAGUCCUCCAGGCCGACGGGGCGUGAGGGAGGGAGCCUGCGCCCCUCCCUCCCCCUCCCUCCCACCACCCAUCCCUCCUCCCUGAAAAUGGACACUCUUGGUGACGUCUGACUCGCCUUGCCGCCAGCUAUGUCGGGCCAGGUCACGGGCGUCCCCACCACCGCCCUGCCGGAGGCCACCACGCAGGGGCCAAUAGGGGGCGGUGGGACGCUCCCUGACGAGACUGGGGUUCUGGUGGAGGGAGGAGGCCCCUUGCCGGAGGAGAACGGUGGAGAGGCCCUGAUGGAAGUGAACUGCUCCAUGCCCUGUGGGAACUACACGGCGCCCACCAAUACCUCCAACGUGCCCGGCGACUCCUACUACUUCUACGAGGUGAGUACUGCACGCCCUUGUGUCCCUCGCCCCGACACAAUACUGCAUAUUUACCCGCACAUUCCUUGGUCCGAUAGGUACCACUCGUUACAUAUACAUACCCAUCAGCUCGAAUUGUAGGACCGUUUGCCCUUACGCCCCUCGCCCCUAUAGACACUGCCGCACACACUUGUCCCUCAACCUGACAGACUACAGCACUCCCUUACGUCUCUCGGCCCUUCACACAGAACUGCACGCUCCUGUCUCACUUCUGCCCGACAGGAAGUACUGUUUAUCCGUACGUCCUUCGGUCCGACAGAUAGUACUGCUUACUUUUAUAUCCCCCAGUUCAACAGGUAAUACUACACACUCCUGUGAACCUCUACAUGAGAAAUACUCCACCAUUGCUUGACUUCUCUCGUGUCCCUCGGCAAGACAAAACAUUCUAGGUAUCACGGAUCGCUCGGCCAGUCCUCAAGAAUGAAGUGUUGUGUAGUGUGUGUCUUGUCUUUCCGCUGGUACUCGAAUGA